AUGUGGCGACAGCGAUUUAGGGUUAUGGGUGAAAGUGAGAACACAGAGAGAGAAAGGGUAAACGAGAAAGAGGGAGAAAGAGAGAAUGAAUCAGAAAAGUUUUUGAAAGGAAAAGAGAGAGGAAACGUUGAAAAUGAGAUUUUACAGGAAAAUAAAUACCGGAUUGAAUC
Molecule: non-coding RNA, 170 nt
Organism: Vicia faba (fava bean)
Lineage: Eukaryota; Viridiplantae; Streptophyta; Magnoliopsida; Fabales; Fabaceae
Source: the annotation of a GenBank genome assembly